ACGGGUGAGUAACACGUGGGCAAUCUGCCCUUCACUCUGGGACAAGCCCUGGAAACGGGGUCUAAUACCGGAUAUCACUUCCACUCGCAUGGGUGGGGGUUGAAAGCUCCGGCGGUGAAGGAUGAGCCCGCGGCCUAUCAGCUUGUUGGUGAGGUAAUGGCUCACCAAGGCGACGACGGGUAGCCGGCCUGAGAGGGCGACCGGCCACACUGGGACUGAGACACGGCCCAGACUCCUACGGGAGGCAGCAGUGGGGAAUAUUGCACAAUGGGCGAAAGCCUGAUGCAGCGACGCCGCGUGAGGGAUGACGGCCUUCGGGUUGUAAACCUCUUUCAGCAGGGAAGAAGCGAAAGUGACGGUACCUGCAGAAGAAGCGCCGGCUAACUACGUGCCAGCAGCCGCGGUAAUACGUAGGGCGCAAGCGUUGUCCGGAAUUAUUGGGCGUAAAGAGCUCGUAGGCGGUCUGUCGCGUCGGAUGUGAAAGCCCGGGGCUUAACCCCGGGUCUGCAUUCGAUACGGGCAGACUAGAGUGUGGUAAGGGAGAUCGGAAUUCCUGGUGUAGCGGUGAAAUGCGCAGA
RNAcentral lists this ribosomal RNA (578 nucleotides) under uncultured bacterium. Its description in RNAcentral is "bacterial SSU rRNA". It matches the Rfam family "Bacterial small subunit ribosomal RNA", at positions 102 to 694 of the family's 1533-position model. The record is from RNAcentral.